UACGAAGGGGGCUAGCGUUGCUCGGAAUUACUGGGCGUAAAGCGCACGUAGGCGGCUUUCUAAGUCAGGGGUGAAAUCCCGAGGCUCAACCUCGGAACUGCCUUUGAUACUGGGGAUCUCGAGUCCGGGAGAGGUGAGUGGAACUGCGAGUGUAGAGGUGAAAUUCGUAGAUAUUCGCAAGAACACCAGUGGCGAAGGCGGCUCACUGGCCCGGAACUGACGCUGAGGUGCGAAAGCGUGGGGAGCAAACAGG
Molecule: ribosomal RNA, 253 nt
Filed under: uncultured bacterium
Lineage: Bacteria
Description: partial 16S ribosomal RNA
Rfam family: Bacterial small subunit ribosomal RNA
Source: RNAcentral